Molecule: RNA transcript, 4088 nt
Organism: Caenorhabditis elegans
Lineage: Eukaryota; Metazoa; Nematoda; Chromadorea; Rhabditida; Rhabditidae
Gene: K08E5.1
Gene name: Non-coding transcript of protein-coding gene K08E5.1a
Exons: 8
Source: RefSeq, marked reviewed
AUGAGUGACUCAACUUGUGAGUCUGGAAGCGGCGCCCAGGCAACGAAGGCACCAGCGAAGGCAUCAUCGAAUCCGAAGAAUGAUGAUGCCAACGAGGACCGCAAUGUGUUCACGUCGAUCGACAAAAAAGGUGGUGGCUCGAAACAAAUGGCGAUCGAGGAUAUCUACCAAAAGAAGUCCCGACUCGAGCACAUUCUUCUUCGCCCGGACACCUACAUCGGUUCGGUCGAGCAUACCGAGAAGACGCCGAUGUGGGUCUACAACAUGGAGGAGAGCACGCUGGAGCAGCGUGACAUCUCAUACGUACCGGGACUAUUCAAGAUUUAUGACGAAAUCCUUGUGAAUGCGGCUGACAACAAACAGAGAGAUCGGAAGAUGAACACGAUAAGAGUUACCAUCAACAAGGCGAAAAACGAGAUCUCUGUAUACAACAACGGAAAAGGAAUUCCUGUCACCCAGCACAAAGUGGAGAAAGUCUUCGUUCCUGAGCUCAUUUUCGGAAGUCUUCUCACGUCAUCAAACUUCGUCGGCAAUCAGAAGGCAAUGAUAGGAGGACGAAACGGAUAUGGAGCUAAACUCUGCAACAUUUUCUCCACAAAAUUCACUUGUGAGACGUCAUCUCGGGUCUACAAAAGUGCAUUCAAGCAAACGUGGAUUAACAACAUGACGCGUGAUGAGGAGCCGACGAUUGUUCCGAGCACCGACGAAGACUUCACGAAGAUCACAUUCUCGCCGGAUCUGGCAAAGUUCAAGAUGAAGGAACAUGACGACGAUAUCUGCCAUUUGAUGGCUCGGCGUGCCUACGACGUGGCGACAACCUGUAAAGGUGUAGACGUCAUCCUCAAUGGAGAGAUGAUUUCAGUCAAGGGAUUCGAGGACUACCAAAUUUCGUUUGCUAACAACGUUUCCACCACAAAAGGAGGAAGACAUGUGGACCAUGUUGUCGACCAGAUGAUUGCGAGACUCAAGGGCUCGAUCAAGCAGGAGCUUUCAAAGGACGUCGAUCCAUUCAUGAUUGAAAACCAUUUGUGGGUUUUCGUGAACUGUCUCAUCGAGUGGCCAACGUUCGACUCGCAAACGAAGGAAAUGAUGACGCUACGGCACGAUCGAUUCGGAUCCACAUGCGCUCUGAGCAAGAAAUUCUGCAAAACGGCUUUACAAAUUGGCCUGAUCCGCCAAAUUUCCCGUGAAAUUAGUGUAGAUAUCCGAGAAAAUCUCGUCCAAAAAGCCUCGGAAAGUUCGCCAAUAAAGUGCAUUCCAAAGCUUGAAGAUGCCAAAGAAGCUGGAACCAAAACUUCCGAACGGUGCACAUUGAUUGUGACGGAAGGAGACUCGGCCAAAACGCUUGCUAUUUCGGGACUUUCCGUUGUUGGACGGGACAAGUUCGGAGUCUUCCCGCUCCGAGGAAAGUUGCUGAAUGUCCGCGACGCAAGUGUGAAGCAGAUCGCCGAGAAUGCUGAAGUCAACGCGAUGAUCAAGAUCCUCGGACUUCAGAGAGAUUUAAAGUACGAGUUUGAUGAUGAGUGAUGAUCAUGGCUGAUCAGGAUCAGGAUGGCUCUCACAUCAAAGGUCUCAUUAUCAGUUUUCUACAUCAUUUCUGGCCAUCACUGAUUCAACGGAACUUCGUCGAGGAGUUCAUCACUCCAAUUGUCGAAGCCACCAAAGGAAAAGAAGAAGUCUCCUUCUACUCGCUCCCAGAAUACUCUGAGUGGAGAACGAACACGGACAACUGGAAGCCGUAUAAGAUCAAGUACUACAAGGGAUUAGGUACAUCGACUGCCAAGGAAGCUAAGGAGUACUUCCUGGACAUGGUUCGUCAUCGUAUUCGAUUCAAAUACAACGGAGCUGAUGAUGAUAACGCUAUCGACAUGGCUUUCUCAAAGAAGAAGAUUGAAGAGAGAAAAGACUGGCUUUUGAAGUGGAUGAGGGAGAAGAAAGACAGAAAGGAGCAGGGACUUGCUGAAGAAUAUCUCUACAACAAGGACACUCGAUUCGUCACCUUCAAAGAUUUCGUCAAUCGCGAAUUGGUCUUCUUCUCGAGUCUCCACAACGAACGAUCAAUUCCAUGCCUUGUGGAUGGUUUCAGGCCAGGACAGCGGAAGGUUCUCUUUGCGUGCUUCAAAAGAGCAGACAAGCAUGAGGUCAACGUAGCUCAAUUGGCUGGAGCUGUCGCUGAUAUUUCUGCGUACCAUCACGGAGAACAGUCGCUUAUGGGAACAAUUGUGAAUCUCGCUCAAGAUUACGUUGGAUCCAACAACAUCAACCUGCUUCUUCCAAUCGGACAAUUCGGUACUCGUCUCCAGGGUGGAAAGGACAGUGCUUCAGCUCGUUACAUCUUCACUCAACUGUCGCCAGUCACUCGUUCACUCUUCCCGGCUCACGAUGAUAAUGUUCUGCGUUUCCUCUAUGAAGAAAACCAGCGUAUUGAGCCAGAGUGGUAUUGCCCGAUUAUUCCAAUGGUUCUCGUCAAUGGAGCUCAAGGAAUCGGUACUGGAUGGUCCACAAGCAUUCCCAACUACAAUCCACGUGAUCUCGUCGAGAACAUCAAGCGCCUGAUUGCCGGCGAGCCGCAGAAAGUCUUAGCUCCAUGGUACAAGAACUUCCGCGGAAAGAUCAUUCAAAUCGACCCGAGUCGAUUUGCAUGCUAUGGUGAAGUUGCUGUGCUUGAUGACAACACCAUUGAGAUCACCGAGUUGCCAAUCAAACAGUGGACUCAAGAUUACAAAGAGAAGGUUUUGGAGGGAUUGAUGGAGAGCUCGGACGAGAAGAAACCGCCUGUUAUCGUUGACUACCAGGAGAUUCACACAGAUACAACUGUUAAGUUCGUCGUGAAGCUGGUGCCAGGAAAACUUCGUGAAUUGGAGCGCAGUCAGGAACUUCAUCAAGUGCUCCAGCUCCAAUCUAUCAUUUGCACGAGCUCCAUGGUACUUUUCGAUGCUGCCGGAUGUCUUCGCACCUACAUUUCACCAGAGGCAAUUACUCAAGAGUUCUACGAUAGUCGCCAAGAGAAGUACCUGCAGAGAAAGAAGUACCUCCUCGGAGUUCUUCAGGCUCAGAGCAAGCGUCUCACUAACCAGGCUCGUUUCAUUCUCGCCAAGAUCAACAAAGAGAUUGUAUUCGAGAAUAAGAAGAAGGUGGCCAUUGUCGAUGAUUUGAUCAAAAUGGGUUUUGAUGCUGAUCCAGUGAAGAAGUGGAAGGAGGAGCAAAAGCUCAAGCUUCGUGAAUCUGGAGAAAUCGAGCUGGACGAAGAUGAUCUAGCUGCUGUCGCCAUCGAAGAGGACGAAGCCAUUUCCUCUGCUGCGAAGGCCGUUGAAACCAAGCUAUCAGACUACGAUUACCUUGUCGGAAUGGCUCUCAUCAAGCUUUCGGAAGAAGAGAAGAAUAAGCUCAUCAAGGAAUCGGAGGAGAAGAUGGCUGAGGUUCGAGUUCUCGAGAAGAAGACCUGGCAAGAUCUUUGGCAUGAGGAUCUGGACAACUUCGUGUCUGAGUUGGACAGACAGGAGGCUUGCGAGAAAGCUGAUCAAGAUGCCAGCAUCAAAAAUGCCGCCAAAAAGCUUGCUGCCGACGCAAAGACCGGACAUGGAUCCAAGAAGAAUGUGUGCACGGAAGUCCUUCCAUCCAAGGAUGGACAUCGUAUUGAGCCGAUGUUGGAAGCUGCAACCAAGGCCAAAUAUGAGAAGAAGUCCCAGCCAAAGAAGGAACGCGUCAAGAAAGAGCCAAAGAAAGCUCAAGAGCCGAGAAAAAGCAAGAAGGAGUGGGAAUGCGACUCGUCAGAGAGUGAGCAUGGUGUUUCGUCAGAUGAGGAAAUCAUCAAUAAACCAAGAGCUCGUGCUGAGCGAGGGGCUGCGAAAGCGGCAAGGAAAGCUGCUCCCGGAAAGAUGGCUGCCGGUUCCGAUGAUGAUGAGCCGACGACGAGUAAGACAUCGCCUUCAAAGUAUGGAUCGGACGACGAGGAAAAGGAAUUCGACAGUGGCAUUGUGGUCCCAAGUGGGAAAAGACCCCGUCCAGCUGACGCCGUGGAUUCCGGAUCGCGGACGCAACAUCAAGAAAUGAAGAAGCGACGUGUUGCUCACUCGGAAUCGGAUUAA